GUUGCUUUUAACUUUUGGUGAUUUGCAUUCAUUUUUUAGUCUCCUUUCUUAACCGUACUUGAAUUGUGGACAGGCAGUGAAUCAAACUUUGGGUGUUCCUUAAAAGAUUUAAAUUUUGAGAAUAUAAUAUCUGGUCCAUGGCUUGCUUGGUCACUUGAGGAAGCAGUGGAGGAAUACAAUGGAGAUUCAUUUGGGAAAGUCAAGUAGUCCUUUAAAGAUCGAUCCAAGACCAAGAAGACGCUGUUGGAUAGGAGGCACUUUGCACUGGAGCAGAUCCACCAUUUGGGAGAUGGUUCUCUCCCGUAAGGCUUAGUUCUAAAUUUAUUUGGCGGAAGUACGCAAGCAAGCUUUUGAAUUCAAGAGUGGAGGUUAAAUUCUGAAUCUCUCUGAAAAUAGUACU
Molecule: long non-coding RNA, 400 nt
Organism: Lycium ferocissimum
Lineage: Eukaryota; Viridiplantae; Streptophyta; Magnoliopsida; Solanales; Solanaceae
Exons: 4
Source: RefSeq, a predicted model, not a curated record